Molecule: ribosomal RNA, 468 nt
Filed under: uncultured bacterium
Lineage: Bacteria
Description: partial 16S ribosomal RNA
Rfam family: Bacterial small subunit ribosomal RNA
Source: RNAcentral
GACGAACGCUGGCGGUGUGCUUAACACAUGCAAGUCGAACGGAAAGGCCCUGCUUUUGUGGGGUGCUCGAGUGGCGAACGGGUGAGUAACACGUAAGUAACCUGCCCUUGACUUUGGGAUAACUUCAGGAAACUGGGGCUAAUACCGGAUAGGAGCUCCUGCUGCAUGGUGGGGGUUGGAAAGUUUCGGCGGUUGGGGAUGGACUCGCGGCUUAUCAGCUUGUUGGUGGGGUAGUGGCUUACCAAGGCUUUGACGGGUAGCCGGCCUGAGAGGGUGACCGGCCACAUUGGGACUGAGAUACGGCCCAGACUCCUACGGGAGGCAGCAGUGGGGAAUAUUGCACAAUGGGCGGAAGCCUGAUGCAGCAACGCCGCGUGCGGGAUGACGGCCUUCGGGUUGUAAACCGCUUUCGCCUGUGACGAAGCGUGAGUGACGGUAAUGGGUAAAGAAGCACCGGCUAACUACGUG